Molecule: ribosomal RNA, 254 nt
Filed under: uncultured bacterium
Lineage: Bacteria
Description: partial 16S ribosomal RNA
Rfam family: Bacterial small subunit ribosomal RNA
Source: RNAcentral
UACAGAGGGUGCAAGCGUUUGUUCGGAAUCAUUGGGCGUAAAGGGCGUGUAGGCGGUUUGUUAAGUCAUGUGUGAAAUCCCCCGGCUCAACCGAGGAACGACGCAUGAAACUGGCAAGCUAGAGUACCGAAGAGGGGGGUGGAAUUCCCGGUGUAGUGGUGAAAUGCGUAGAGAUCGGGAGGAACACCCGCGGCGAAGGCGGCGACCUGGACCGACCCUGACGCUGAGGCGCGAAGGCCGGGGGAGCGAACGGG